RNAcentral lists this ribosomal RNA (402 nucleotides) under uncultured prokaryote. RNAcentral's name for it is "bacterial SSU rRNA". It matches the Rfam family "Bacterial small subunit ribosomal RNA", at positions 355 to 774 of the family's 1533-position model. The record is from RNAcentral.
UGGGGAAUAUUGGACAAUGGGCGCAAGCCUGAUCCAGCCAUGCCGCGUGAGUGAUGACGGCCUUAGGGUUGUAAAGCUCUUUCACCCACGACGAUAAUGACGGUAGUGGGAGAAGAAGCCCCGGCUAACUUCGUGCCAGCAGCCGCGGUAAUACGAAGGGGGCUAGCGUUGUUCGGAAUUACUGGGCGUAAAGCGUACGUAGGCGGACCGUUAAGUCAGAGGUGAAAUCCCGGAGCUCAACUUCGGAAUUGCCUUUGAUACUGGCGGGCUUGAGUCCGGGAGAGGUGAGUGGAACUGCUAGUGUAGAGGUGAAAUUCGUAGAUAUUAGCAAGAACACCAGUGGCGAAGGCGGCUCACUGGCCCGGUACUGACGCUGAGGUACGAAAGCGUGGGGAGCAAACA